Molecule: RNA transcript, 4473 nt
Organism: Brienomyrus brachyistius
Lineage: Eukaryota; Metazoa; Chordata; Actinopteri; Osteoglossiformes; Mormyridae
Gene name: T-box transcription factor T-like
Exons: 7
Source: RefSeq, a predicted model, not a curated record
GCCAGGCCGUUCCUGUGCUCACAGAGCGUAGUGAGCUUUACUUUACUCAGGAUAUUGUGAAAGGUGCUGAACUUAGUGAUGAGACAGUUAAUACCCAGAUUCUGGAGAUCGCCUCCUCAAAGUGUGGCCCAGCGACUUCAAGCUGGGAAUCGGGGCUUGCUAAGUUUAUGCAAUAUCGCGUGACCGAUGACUUCCGAUUCAUCCUGAGGUGUAAGAGGCUUCGAAUCCUGUUGGCUCUUCAAAACUUUUAUAUAAGUGAGAUGAUUCUAAUUAGCAAUGGUAGUGGAGGCCAGUUUUUAACCAAAGAACCAGCCGCCAGGUGAUGGGUCACAGCAAGGAGGGGUAUGGGGUUGGGUAUCAGUGUUUGGGUACAUUUAAUGGAGGUGCGAUAAAACAUUUGGUAAGGUUUAGCAGCGUCUGUAAUGUCCCUGCAUUGUAGGCAGAGCUUUCUGGAUAGAUUCUGGAAACACACACCCCUGUAUUGGACAAAUGGAUUCAGAAAAUGGAUGGAUGGAUGGAUGGAAUGCAGUGUUUUUCAUGUGUUUUCAUGAGUGGAAGUGAACUUUUACAGAACUGAGUAUUUCAGUAAGUAGGAGAAAAAUCCAUUUUUGAUUAAUCUUAUUGCCUGUAUGUUUUUAAUGCUGCACUGUUCAGUUGCAAAUGGUAGUUCCCUCUGAAUCCCAUCUUCGCAUGUUAGAAAGGCUCUUGUAGCUUUAAGGAACACCGGUGCGUGCAAAGGACUGUGGGUGCAUGCAGACGAGAGCGCGCGGGAAAGCCUGAAGGAAUAGGUAGCACGUCAGCGAGCUGCAGUUUAUGUAUAGCUAGUUUAGUUGUUCCUCGCAGUAAAUACAGUCCCUGGUUUUUAUGUAUGCGUCACUGACGAAUGGAGUCUGAUCGAAACCCAAAAUCAAGCUGCUGCUGUGAGCUCCUGCUGAGCACCCUGCUCGGAGGCAUGUAGACUCGACGGACGCUACGGAGUGUUCCAGUGACCGCCCACUAGUACAUAUCUGCUAGACUCGACCCUCGCCGUACCGUACAAAGCAUAACACAGUGAGAAUAAGGAGUGAAAUACAGGCAAUCUACAGCCCAAGGAAGGCAGACAACCGCCUCUAUCUGAUUACAUGACACUGUGAACUAUAGACAAGAUCUCACUUAGAUGCAGUUCUCCUUGAUGUAGCUGGGUUUGAUUUGUGGCUGGUGUGUAGCUGGCCUCUGAGAUGUCGCUCAUGACCCUGAUCAGCGCAGGAAACAUCCAUCAGUGAGCAGGAAGGUGUUCCUUGCUGCAUCACGCAAGAAGAUUUGAGGGCUCGUCCGGGAUCGGAGAAAGGGAGCAGCCAGAGCGCACGGACGGCGAGGAACAAGGUGUCCUGUUAGAAGGGAGCGGUGAGACGUCACUGCCAGCCAAGGAGCGAGGAAAAAGGUUACUCGAUCCGGCUCAGCAUCCCAUGCUCGUCGGACGAACGCCUGGACAUCCAAAUCCGAUCAACGGACCAAAAUUGAAGCGAAAAAAAAAUUGUAAAUUGAUUUAUUAAAUCACAAGUCGAUGUUUAAGUUUGUAUAGUAUCUAUAUCUGCUGUUUGACAAACUUUGGGAAAAGCGCUAGUGGAUUGCGAUAUCCACAGGAGGAUCCUCGUAUUCACAGGAAGGUGAAUACAGGUAUUUGCAAGGAAGCAAAUACAGGUGUCUGUAGAGACACAGGUCUUUCACAAGGAAGUGAAAGGGUUUUCACGAGGGAGUGAAAACAAGCGGGUUGGUUGGCAUUUGCCCCACCUGGGUAUAAAUAAGGUUGUGUGUGGAAACUGUCCCGUCGGGCAGUUAACACGGCUCUGCCAGGGGCAGCCUGGUAGCGGACUGAGUCCUGCCAGGGAAGUGAAUGAAUAGUAGCUGCCGCGCUGUGAUACGUGUCCUGCCGGAGGAAAUUGUGUGAAGCGUGUAAAUAUCCUGGUUGUGAUGAAUGUGAAUGUGUUGUGUUGCCUAAUGCGGAAUAUCAGGUAAACAAACUAAUAAGUGUCCAGAAAAUUAGACAGAGAUACCGGUGUAAAAAGCGCCGGAGGCCAAGCGGCCGUGCCCAAACUAAAUUUGUCUCAUUUAUGAGGACAGACACAAGUCAAAAUUUAUAUUGCUGGAAUGUGUGUCUGGUGCGCAUAAUAAAAUAUUAAUUAUAUUAUUCACCAAUCCUGCUAAAUCAAAGUAUUCGUUUGUGUUCAUAAUAAAUAGCUUGCUCUAUCGCAAUUUGCUUUCUCGCAACGAAGAAACUUGCUUCUGCUUUCGCAACGAAGUAAACCGCUUAAUUUCCUGAAGUGCUUUGUUGAGGGUAACUGUUGAACAGAUAGGAAUAGUCAUGGGCAGUUCAAAUAGCAAAGAAAACAAAUGGGCUCCAGAGGGUAUGACAAAAUUUGAAAAACAAAUGAGAAAACACAGUUGUCGAAAGCCAGGCGAGAAACGUACGUGUCGUGAUGUGGUCGAGACUGAGAUGGGAGAGAGUUUUGCAAAGAAUGUGCCAAAUGGAGUAAAAUGACAAGCGGGCGCUGGCCCGUGGACGGCACGUUCGAUCCAACAAUAAUGCAGCAUACAAAGCGUGUAAUACAAAGCAAAAAGGGAUGUUGUGGAAAAUAUGGGGAUAUUGAUAAGUUUGAAAAGUGGAUAUAUGUGGCUAAAUUGAAAGAGUUAGAGAAGGAAAAGGCAAAUAAUAAGGGACUGAGGGACCAACUGGCCAGGGAGACAGCGGAGUUAAACGCUGAAAGGGCCAAGAAUGAGGCUCAGGCCCAAUCCCUCAGCAUGGUGUUACAGAAUACUAAGAAGAAAAAGGAAGAGAUACCUCUGUACCCUCCUCUGCCAAAUGUGCCCCCUCCCCCUGCUUAUCAUCCUCAGCUAGGAGCAGCUGCAGCAGCACUGGCGUCUGUGGAGGCCACUGCCCCUCCCUCAGAGAAGAAGGAGGAAGAUGACGCAGUGGGGGGAGCAGGAGCCCUGCCGCUGAGACAGAGCCAGAGACUGCUGCAAAGGGGGGAGACUCAGCCUCACAGCCAUCGCAGUUGUACCCCUUAGUGGAGAUGCCUGACCCAAGGGGCCCUGCGCCUGAUGGAACACCGACGAUGGUGUAUGUCCAGCGCAACUGGGACUUGGCUGAGCUGAGAGAGAUGGUCAACUCCCUCCCAGAUCCACGAGAGGUGGGAGGACACCGCUUCUGGCAGGAGGUGAUGAACCUGGACGACGUCUACCAGCACCACGACUCCACUGCACAGCUGCUUAUGUGGAAAACCACACACGACAUGAUGUGUAUGAUAUGCAAGACUUCAUGGGGAACGGAUUUCCUACAGAAAGGAUUCAAAUUGACUAUAUUUAUGUGGGACAUCAAGCCACUGCUGCUUCUGUGACACUCCAAGAACAACAGCUUCGCUGGUUCUGCCCUGGAGAUGAAGGCGUUCCAUAUGUCUCCUUGGGAAAGGUAGAAGUUCACCCAGACUCUCAGUACUGGUUUGCACACACCUUUAAAGGGAAAAGGUACACCUGGACAGUCAUGCUUCAGUCAUGCUCCUCCUUGAGGAGUAACCGCUCCGCACCCUAUCCCAGCCCCUACACCCACAGGAGCGCAUCACCCACUGCUUAUUCAGACAGCUUGUCUACCUGUCUGUCCAUGUUGCCGUCCCAUGACAACUGGUCCAGCCUACAGGUGCCGUCCCAUUCCGGCAUGUUACCCAUGAGUCAUAGCGGCACCUCCGGGAGCAGCUCCAGGUGAGCCCGUGCCUCCCCUCCCCCACCAUGCUGAGUCGCGGGCCCCCGUCUUCCCUCUUGUUCUCGCCUAUACCCACAUCCUAGCCUGUGUCUGCAUCGUCUCACCUCGUUAACAGGUCUUUCACCUUCUUCUGUCCUGAUCCAUUCAGGCCCAUCACUGCAUUCUGGGACAUGCUUUGAUUUAUUUCGCCAUAGUUACUCUUUGUUUUCCUUUGUACUUUGCACUCUACAAGUAAAGUGAAUAAAAAAUAGGCAUUAUUUUGAUAUUGUUUUAGUACAGUGACACUGUAGUAUAUUUGUUGUUCUUUCCAGGCAACACUGCAUGCUGAUUUAACGUCUUUCCUUAAUCUCCACCCCAUUGCUCACACACAGCCAGCAUCCCAGUUUGUGGUCAUUGAGCUCCUCCUCGCUCACCCCAGUCUCCUAGUCCAGUGGAAUGUCCAACAGCUUGGUCUCUCAGUUCCUGCGCAGCUCUACAACUCAUCACCCAGGGCUCUCGCACCCAGCCACAGUGCCCCUCUCAGGCUCCCCGCUGUAUGACGGCACUGCUCCAUCGAAAGUUCAUGAAGCCUCACAGUACGACGCCUCUCCCCACGCACGCUUAGCCACCACCUGGACUCCCAUCACUCCUCCUUCCCUGUAGGGCGGCGCACUUCCAUUAUUAUUGCAGUUUCUAUUGUCGCUCUGUUGCUUUUCCUGGUGCUGGACUUUUGACAAAUAAAUACAACUUUAUUUGUUGCA